CAAAGAUGGAGAAAAGGUAUUUACCGAUGUUUUGUUGUGCUCGUUUACAGCGAAGGUCGCGAGUUCGUUGAUCUCAACACUGUUUUGGAAACCUUUAUACUCAGAGAAGCCACCCAAUCUAGCCAUCCUUGCUCUUCAACAAUCCAGCAGACUGGAGGUGAUGAUGAAAAUAUCUGAGAUUGAACAAAUAGAAAAAAUAAAUAAAAAAAAUGACUUAAUUAUUGAAAUCAAUAGCCACAUAUCAUAAACUAUUAUUAAAAUCGCAUUUAAAUAUUUAAAAUUCUUAAUAAAACAUGAUUUUUCAAACUAUUCCACAAAUAAAAGAAGAUUAGGUAAUGGAAAGCGGAUCUGGUGGGAUUUCUUAAAAUGAGACUCG
Molecule: long non-coding RNA, 376 nt
Filed under: Zostera marina
Lineage: Eukaryota; Viridiplantae; Streptophyta; Magnoliopsida; Alismatales; Zosteraceae
Description: long non-coding RNA (ZMAR_LNC005249)
Source: RNAcentral